Molecule: ribosomal RNA, 489 nt
Filed under: uncultured bacterium
Lineage: Bacteria
Description: partial 16S ribosomal RNA
Rfam family: Bacterial small subunit ribosomal RNA
Source: RNAcentral
UUGAACGCUGGCGGCAGGCCUAACACAUGCAAGUCGAACGGUAACAGGAAGCAGCUUGCUGCUUCGCUGACGAGUGGCGGACGGGUGAGUAAUGUCUGGGAAGCUGCCUGAUGGAGGGGGAUAACUACUGGAAACGGUAGCUAAUACCGCAUAAUGUCGCAAGACCAAAGAGGGGGACCUUCGGGCCUCUUGCCAUCGGAUGUGCCCAGAUGGGAUUAGCUUGUUGGUGGGGUAACGGCUCACCAAGGCGACGAUCCCUAGCUGGUCUGAGAGGAUGACCAGCCACACUGGAACUGAGACACGGUCCAGACUCCUACGGGAGGCAGCAGUGGGGAAUAUUGCACAAUGGGCGCAAGCCUGAUGCAGCCAUGCCGCGUGUAUGAAGAAGGCCUUCGGGUUGUAAAGUACUUUCAGCGGGGAGGAAGGGAGUAAAGUUAAUACCCUUGCUCAUUGACGUUACCCGCAGAAGAAGCACCGGCUAACUCCGUG